UACGUAGGGUGCAAGCGUUAAUCGGAAUUACUGGGCGUAAAGCGUGCGCAGGCGGUGAUGUAAGACAGAUGUGAAAUCCCCGGGCUCAACCUGGGAACUGCAUUUGUGACUGCAUCGCUGGAGUACGGCAGAGGGGGAUGGAAUUCCGCGUGUAGCAGUGAAAUGCGUAGAUAUGCGGAGGAACACCGAUGACGAAGGCAAUCCCCUGGGCCUGUACUGACGCUCAUGCACGAAAGCGUGGGGAGCAAACAGG
Molecule: ribosomal RNA, 253 nt
Filed under: uncultured bacterium
Lineage: Bacteria
Description: partial 16S ribosomal RNA
Rfam family: Bacterial small subunit ribosomal RNA
Source: RNAcentral